RNAcentral lists this ribosomal RNA (496 nucleotides) under uncultured bacterium. RNAcentral's name for it is "partial 16S ribosomal RNA". It matches the Rfam family "Bacterial small subunit ribosomal RNA", at positions 28 to 507 of the family's 1533-position model. The record is from RNAcentral.
GAUGAACGCUGGCGGCGUGCCUAAUACAUGCAAGUCGAGCGAACAGACGAGGAGCUUGCUCCUCUGACGUUAGCGGCGGACGGGUGAGUAACACGUGAUAACCUACCUAUAAGACUGGGAUAACUUCGGGAAACCGGAGCUAAUACCGGAUAAUAUAUUGAACCGCCUGGUUCAAUAGUGAAGGACGGUUUUGCUGUCACUUAUAGAUGGAUCCGCGCCGCAUUAGCUAGUUGGUAAGGUAACGGCUUACCAAGGCAACGAUGCGUAGCCGACCUGAGAGGGUGAUCGGCCACACUGGAACUGAGACACGGUCCAGACUCCUACGGGAGGCAGCAGUAGGGAAUCUUCCGCAAUGGGCGAAAGCCUGACGGAGCAACGCCGCGUGAGUGAUGAAGGUCUUCGGAUCGUAAAACUCUGUUAUUAGGGAAGAACAAAUGUGUAAGUAACUAUGCACGUCUUGACGGUACCUAAUCAGAAAGCCACGGCUAACUACGUG